RNAcentral lists this ribosomal RNA (988 nucleotides) under fungal endophyte. Its description in RNAcentral is "eukaryotic LSU rRNA". The stretch from base 453 to 988 matches the Rfam family "Eukaryotic large subunit ribosomal RNA", at positions 1 to 541 of the family's 3401-position model. The record is from RNAcentral. Lineage: Eukaryota; Fungi.
UUUCACCCAUGUCUUUUGCGCACUUGUUGUUUCCUGGGCGGGUUCGCCCGCCACCAGGACCAAACCAUAAACCUUUUUCUUAUGCAGUUUCCAUCAGCGUCAGUAAAAACAAUGUAAUAAUUACAACUUUCAACAACGGAUCUCUUGGUUCUGGCAUCGAUGAAGAACGCAGCGAAAUGCGAUACGUAGUGUGAAUUGCAGAAUUCAGUGAAUCAUCGAAUCUUUGAACGCACAUUGCGCCCUUUGGUAUUCCAAAGGGCAUGCCUGUUCGAGCGUCAUUUGUACCUUCAAGCUUUGCUUGGUGUUGGGCGUUUUUGUCUCCCUCUUUCUGGGAGACUCGCCUUAAAACGAUUGGCAGCCGGCCUACUGGUUUCGGAGCGCAGCACAUUUUUUGCGCUUUGUAUCAGGAGAAAAGGACGGUACUCCAUCAAGACUUUUACAAUUUUAACUUUUGACCUCGGAUCAGGUAGGGAUACCCGCUGAACUUAAGCAUAUCAAUAAGCGGAGGAAAAGAAACCAACAGGGAUUGCCCUAGUAACGGCGAGUGAAGCGGCAACAGCUCAAAUUUGAAAUCUGGCUCUUUCAGAGUCCGAGUUGUAAUUUGCAGAGGGCGCUUUGGCUUUGGCAGCGGUCCAAGUUCCUUGGAACAGGACGUCACAGAGGGUGAGAAUCCCGUACGUGGUCGCUAGCUAUUGCCGUGUAAAGCCCCUUCGACGAGUCGAGUUGUUUGGGAAUGCAGCUCUAAAUGGGAGGUAAAUUUCUUCUAAAGCUAAAUAUUGGCCAGAGACCGAUAGCGCACAAGUAGAGUGAUCGAAAGAUGAAAAGCACUUUGGAAAGAGAGUCAAACAGCACGUGAAAUUGUUGAAAGGGAAGCGCUUGCAGCCAGACUUGCUUGCAGUUGCUCAUCCGGGCUUUUGCCCGGUGCACUCUUCUGUAGGCAGGCCAGCAUCAGUUUGGGCGGUGGGAUAAAGGUCUCUGUCACGUACCU